RNAcentral lists this ribosomal RNA (465 nucleotides) under Vreelandella stevensii. Its description in RNAcentral is "partial 16S ribosomal RNA". It matches the Rfam family "Bacterial small subunit ribosomal RNA", at positions 338 to 795 of the family's 1533-position model. The record is from RNAcentral. Lineage: Bacteria; Pseudomonadati; Pseudomonadota; Gammaproteobacteria; Oceanospirillales; Halomonadaceae.
CCUACGGGUGGCAGCAGUGGGGAAUAUUGGACAAUGGGCGAAAGCCUGAUCCAGCCAUGCCGCGUGUGUGAAGAAGGCCUUCGGGUUGUAAAGCACUUUCAGUGGGGAAGAAAGCCUUGGGGCUAAUACCCUCGAGGAAGGACAUCACCCACAGAAGAAGCACCGGCUAACUCCGUGCCAGCAGCCGCGGUAAUACGGAGGGUGCGAGCGUUAAUCGGAAUUACUGGGCGUAAAGCGCGCGUAGGCGGUCUGAUAAGCCGGUUGUGAAAGCCCCGGGCUCAACCUGGGAGCGGCAUCCGGAACUGUCAGGCUAGAGUGCAGGAGAGGAAGGUAGAAUUCCCGGUGUAGCGGUGAAAUGCGUAGAGAUCGGGAGGAAUACCAGUGGCGAAGGCGGCCUUCUGGACUGACACUGACGCUGAGGUGCGAAAGCGUGGGUAGCAAACAGGAUUAGAUACCCCGGUAGUC